Molecule: ribosomal RNA, 447 nt
Filed under: uncultured bacterium
Lineage: Bacteria
Description: bacterial SSU rRNA
Rfam family: Bacterial small subunit ribosomal RNA
Source: RNAcentral
UUCCAGACUCCUACGGGAGGCAGCAGUGGGGAAUAUUGCACAAUGGGGGAAACCCUGAUGCAGCAACGCCGCGUGAGUGAUGACGGCCUUCGGGUUGUAAAGCUCUGUCUUCAGGGACGAUAAUGACGGUACCUGAGGAGGAAGCCACGGCUAACUACGUGCCAGCAGCCGCGGUAAUACGUAGGUGGCAAGCGUUGUCCGGAUUUACUGGGUGUAAAGGGCGUGCAGCCGGGCUGACAAGUCAGAUGUGAAAUCCCGCGGCUCAACCGCGGAACUGCAUUUGAAACUGUCAGUCUUGAGUACCGGAGAGGUCAUCGGAAUUCCUUGUGUAGCGGUGAAAUGCGUAGAUAUAAGGAAGAACACCAGUGGCGAAGGCGGAUGACUGGACGGCAACUGACGGUGAGGCGCGAAAGCGUGGGGAGCAAACAGGAUUAGAUACCCCAGUAC